CGCACAUUGCGCCCUUUGGUAUUCCGAGGGGCAUGUCUGUUCGAGCGUCAUUUCAACCCUCAAGCUUCUGCUUGGUAUUGGGCUUUUCGUCCGCCUUAAGGAUGUGCCUGAAACUCAUAGGCGGUUAUACCCAACUCCCUUGCGUAGUUAUUUUUUCUCGCUCUGGGUGAUUUUUUUUUUGGGUGUGACUUGCCUGAGAACCUCUUAUUCUUUUAAAGGUUUGACCUCGGAUCAGAUAGGGAUACCCGCUGAACUUAA
RNAcentral lists this unclassified non-coding RNA (258 nucleotides) under Parahelicomyces indicus. RNAcentral's name for it is "partial contains 5.8S ribosomal RNA, internal transcribed spacer 2, and large subunit ribosomal RNA". The record is from RNAcentral. Lineage: Eukaryota; Fungi; Ascomycota; Dothideomycetes; Tubeufiales; Tubeufiaceae.